CGGGAAGAAACGCACCUACGUGUAGGUGUCUGACGGUACCGUAAGAAUAAGGACCGGCUAACUCCGUGCCAGCAGCCGCGGUAAUACGGAGGGUCCGAGCGUUAUCCGGAAUCAUUGGGUUUAAAGGGUCCGUAGGCGGGCCUGUAAGUCAGGGGUGAAAGUUUGUGGCUCAACCAUAAAAUUGCCUUUGAUACUGCAGGUCUUGAGUCAUGGUGGGGUCGCCGGAACAUGUGGUGUAGCGGUGAAAUGCAUAGAUAUCACAUAGAACACCGAUCGCGAAGGCAGGUGACCAACCAUGUACUGACGCUGAUGGACGAAAGCGUGGGUAGCGAACGGGAUUAGAUACCCCGGUAGUCCACGCCGUAAACGAUGGAUACUAGCUGUGGGGACUUCGGUCUCCGUGGCCAAGCGAAAGUGAUAAGUAUCCCACCUGGGGAGUACGUUCGCAAGAAUGAAACUCAAAUGAAUUGACGG
RNAcentral lists this ribosomal RNA (474 nucleotides) under uncultured bacterium. Its description in RNAcentral is "bacterial SSU rRNA". It matches the Rfam family "Bacterial small subunit ribosomal RNA", at positions 441 to 916 of the family's 1533-position model. The record is from RNAcentral.